GCGGGAAUAGUUCAGGGGUAGAACGUCAGCUUCCCAAGCUGAAUGUCGCGGGUUCAAUUCCCGUUUCCCGCUCAA
Molecule: transfer RNA, 75 nt
Filed under: Caldifarciminota bacterium
Lineage: Bacteria; Pseudomonadati; Caldifarciminota
Description: tRNA-Gly
Rfam family: tRNA
About the family: Transfer RNA (tRNA) molecules are approximately 80 nucleotides in length. Their secondary structure includes four short double-helical elements and three loops (D, anti-codon, and T loops). Further hydrogen bonds mediate the characteristic L-shaped molecular structure. tRNAs have two regions of fundamental functional importance: the anti-codon, which is responsible for specific mRNA codon recognition, and the 3' end, to which the tRNAs corresponding amino acid is attached (by aminoacyl-tRNA synthetases). tRNAs cope with the degeneracy of the genetic code in two manners: having more than one tRNA (with a specific anti-codon) for a particular amino acid; and 'wobble' base-pairing, i.e. permitting non-standard base-pairing at the 3rd anti-codon position.
Source: RNAcentral